CUAACCCUAUUUUCAAACACCCACAGUCUCCUAUGUUCCAUCAGCACCGCCACUCAAUUUCCUUCUCCCCUCUUCAUUGAGUUCACAAACAUCACUGAGAGAGAAAGAGAUCCAAGAAGAGAGAGCACUGACGGGAGAGGAAGACCGCGUAGCUCGCCGCCGCCGCGCCACGCCCAACCGCGUCACUGGUUGCCGGCUGCGCUUGCUGUUUGCGCCAUGCCACUGCCCAAUCGAACUGCUGCAUGUGAGAAGCUGUGCCGUCAUUGUCGUUGCAGCCCCAUCCAUGGAUCCCGAGCCCGCACCUUGCCGCCGCGUUGUUGUUAGGGAAAAGGGAGACGCGAUGAUAGGGAAAGGGAGGAGCUACAGCCGCCGCGCCUGGUCUCCGUUGUCGCUGAACUUCGACCGCCGCCGUUCCUGCCGCCGUUGAAGCCACGGUUGCUGUCGUCUUUGAGUGCCAGAGAAAGAAAGAGAGCUCAAGGAAGAGAAGGACGCAAUAGAGGUGAAAAACGUUGUUCUGCUAUGCAUCGUCGCCGUUCUGGGCUGCACCGCCGUGGAUGUGGCCGCCGGAAACUGCCGCGAGAACCUCUAUCUUCUGGUGUAGGGUUGAGUUCCGAUGAUUUCAUGUCAAAAUUAAGGUUGCCAUUGAACCACCGUAACUUCUGGCCGUGCCUCUGUCGCCGGACAACACCGCUGCCGCCUGGAACCUCCAUUGAAGUCUGUAUCUGUGUGGAUGUAUGAUCACAUGGUCACUGCAAGUUUUUCUGUCCUGGGCCACCAUUAGAGCCGCCCAACCGGUGUUGAAAUCGCUGCUGCUAUGUGUUCUUUUAUAAGAUCAAAAGCCGAGCUUACACGUAGCAUUUGAAGCUAUUUCUGCUUUUGGGAAAGCAAGCGGAGCAGAGGCUUCAGUUGCUGCUGAAUUUGGGCUGAGAGAAACGAGUUCAGUUGACGCGUUUGGAUUAUGGUUUCGCGUAUUGAGGAACCGGAUGAAGAAGCAUUAAGAAGAGUUAUACUGUGUUUGGUUUAUAUACUGAUGUAUUAAUUAGAUUAUUUUCUUCCCUCGUCCUUAUUAUUACAAGUUUGUAAGAGGGAUAGGAAUUGUAUGUUUUAUAUGUAUAAUAUAUUGAAUUAUUAUGUAAGGAGUCUUGUAUAUGAAUCUAUGCCUAUUUGUAUUUUUUCUUAAGUUAAAGUGUUUAUUUCCGGUUUUCAAGGAAAUCAGCGACACAGUGUCGAGUCACAGGCUCCUAUUUUAGUAUUUAGUAUGUGAAGUAGUCGUAAUACUCCUUGCUAUCAGAGUAGCGCAGCCGGA
This is a long non-coding RNA of Arachis stenosperma, 1306 nucleotides long. RefSeq lists it as uncharacterized. Lineage: Eukaryota; Viridiplantae; Streptophyta; Magnoliopsida; Fabales; Fabaceae. The record is from RefSeq and is a predicted model, not a curated record. The transcript has 5 exons.